This 512-nucleotide ribosomal RNA is filed under the name uncultured bacterium. RNAcentral's name for it is "bacterial SSU rRNA". It matches the Rfam family "Bacterial small subunit ribosomal RNA", at positions 8 to 506 of the family's 1533-position model. The record is from RNAcentral.
AGAGUUUGAUCAUGGCUCAGGACGAACGCUGGCGGCGUGCUUAACACAUGCAAGUCUACGAGAAAGUUUCUUUCGGGAAGCGAUUAAAGUGGCGCACGGGUGAGUAACACGUAAGCAAUCUACCCUUAGAUUUGGAAUAACUCCGAGAAAUCGGAGCUAAUACCGGAUGAUGCAGCGGCACCGCAUGGUGAUGUUGUUAAAGUUGCUUCGGUAACGUCUGAGGAUGAGCUUGCGGCUGAUUAGCUAGUUGGUAGGGUAACGGCCUACCAAGGCAACGAUCAGUAGCUGGUCUGAGAGGAUGAUCAGCCACACUGGAACUGAGACACGGUCCAGACUCCUACGGGAGGCAGCAGUGAGGAAUAUUGGGCAAUGCCCGCAAGGGUGACCCAGCAACGCCGCGUGGAGGAUGAAUGUCGUAAGAUUGUAAACUCCUGUUAGAGGGGAAGAACAGCCGUGAUUCGCAAGGGUCAUGGUUUGACUGUACCCUCAGAGAAAGCCCCGGCUAACUACGU